UACGGAGGAUCCAAGCGUUAUCCGGAUUUAUUGGGUUUAAAGGGUGCGUAGGCGGCCUGUUAAGUCAGGGGUGAAAGACGGUAGCUUAACUAUCGCAGUGCCUUUGAUACUGACGGGCUUGAAUGCAGCUGAGGUAGGCGGAAUGUGACAAGUAGCGGUGAAAUGCAUAGAUAUGUCACAGAACACCGAUUGCGAAGGCAGCUUACUAAAGUGUGAUUGACGCUGAUGCACGAAAGCGUGGGGAUCAAACAGG
This 253-nucleotide ribosomal RNA is filed under the name uncultured bacterium. RNAcentral's name for it is "partial 16S ribosomal RNA". It matches the Rfam family "Bacterial small subunit ribosomal RNA", at positions 524 to 776 of the family's 1533-position model. The record is from RNAcentral.